AAAAUAAUAAUAAUGAUUGUUACUCUUCCCAGCUCCUCUCACCAUGUGGAGGGACCAUCCUACCGAGGAGACAGACUUUGAGGAAGGGUGAACCAAGGGAUGGUCCCUGCUCAGUGUACACAAUCAGGAGUGCUGCCUUGGAGAUGUAGGGUACAUCACAGGCUGGGGGAGGGGAGUCAUGGCCAACUGCCUGAAGUCUUAAGGCAUUCUGCCUGUGUGUGGGCCCUCGAUGUGGUGUAUUUUAGGGCCCAACACAAUUAGAACCUUGAGUGAGCCAGCUCUCAACCUCCCCAACCCCUACAGCCACAUGGUGUUCAAUAAACAGGGGGCUGAGACAAACGGAGAGGGAAGGGGCGGGUGUGCUGUAGGGCAAGUGGAUUAGGGGCAUGGAGGAAGAACUGGGAAGAGGAGGACCAAGAUGAUGCAGCAGAUUCAAGGCAAGCCAGGCAGUUGAAAGAGGUGGCUACAUGAGGAGGGGAGGAGAAGGAAGGAAACCCGGGGUGGUAUGUAACAGGAAAGAAAGUCCCAGGAAGGAGAGGUAUACUGCAAAAAGCAGGAGUUUGGGAGCCAAAUUACAGACUGAGCCACUUUCUAGUUGUGUGACCUUAAGACCUCAGAUUCUCCAGGGUGUUUCAUCUGUAAAAGGGAUGAACAUCAUCUCCAACUCAGAUUAUAUUAUUUAAUAUAAUAAAGAAGAUAAUGCAUCUUAAGCGCUAACUUGAAAUCUUGGCAUACAGAAGAGUAUUUUUUAAACCUGCUAAAAGGCCGGGUGCAGUGGCUCACGCCUGUCUGGAACCUGGGAGGCGGAGGUUGCAGUGAGCAGAGACCACCAACUGCACUCCAGUCUGGGCAACAAGAGUGAAACUCCAUUUCAAAAACAACAACAACAACAAAAACUGCUAAUGCUCAUUCCCGUCUGUCUAAGAUUUUCCCCUUCUCUAUCUUUGGAUUUUCAUAGACCUUAAAUAGAGCAGCUUCAGGGCAUGGGGUGAGGGCUCUGGACUUCAUAUUGCUCUCUUAGUCUUGGGGAACCCUAUGAAAAUGGCCUAAUCUAUUCUUGCCUCUCUGUUCUCUUGAUGGAAAGCCUUUGGAUAUCUGAAUGGGGGGAAAUAGUCCACCAGGGCUUUGACACCAGAGAUUUCACAUCAGAGACAAUGUAUUGCCAUCUAGCUCUUCCACAGGCCAUGGCCACACUUGUCCUGGGCUAUUGUAAUGGCCCCCUGACCAGUCUUUCGUUUCUUUAGACUUUCCCCCCCCAUCAUUUUCCUACAGUUUAUUCCACACAGUUUGUCAGUGUGAGCAAAACCUCACUCAGGAGCCUCCGUGGGCUUCCCAUUGCCCACUAAACCAACUGCCAGCACCUUACCCUGCAUUCUUGUGUUUUCUGCCUGGCAUUAUAGUUUUUGUUUACUUGUUCUAUGGUUCUCACUAGAUUGUAAACUACUUCACAGCAAGAUCUGACUGUUCAUUCAUUCAACAAAUAUUUACUGAGCACUUUCUCUGUGCCAGGCACUGUUUUAGAUGCUGGGGAUCAUCAGAGAAUCAAGCAAAAAUCCAUGCCCCCACAGAACUUACAUUCUACCUAGGAUAUAGGACGGGGUGGCGGAGAUGAUAAACUAUAAAAAUUAGAAUAAAUAAAUUAUAUAGUAUGUUGAAAAGUGAUACAUGCCGUGAGUUGUAAUUACUUUGGAACUCACGUACCUGCCUAUAAAAGUACUCAAGUAAUCUUUAAAAAUUGUGUUUGAUUCUGUUUGAAUAGGGCAAAGUGCUAAGAUUUUGGACUACGAGGUUUGGCGCUGCCAGUGCUCUCAGGACAGGAAGGGCACAGGUCUUGAACCCUGAAGAUGAAGAGAGAUGGAGCAGGUGCUAAUCACCAGGCCUCUUCCAGAGCGGCUGGAGGUAAGUGCCGGGCUCCAGGCUCCAAUCUCCACCCAGAUGGAGAAAGGCCCAGAUUUCAUGGCUAUCCCUGAGGAAUCUGGGUCAGUUCUCUGAUUUGGCCACCAGGGGUCAUUUUACCCCUGUAAAUCACCAUCUGGAGCACUUGGCAUAAAGGCACACACAAAAGGCUACCCUGGACUAAAACAGACACAAACGGAGAACCCUGACACACACACACACACACACACACACACCUCUCUCUCUCUCUCUCUCACACACACACACACACACAUUCUCUCACACACACAGAGUGCGUGCACACACAGAUAAAAAUACAGUAUUGAGACAUAGGGACAGAAAUGCUAUAGGACGCACACAGGGCAACAGCUCCUUCAGUAAUGCCAGGGUCUGAAGAUGUCCACAAGUGCCAACUCUGCAGCCCCUCCGAGCCCCCAACUUGGGUGAAGAGGGAAGGAAUAGCCGGGCACAAUGGCUCAUGCCUGUAAUCCCAGCACUUUGGGACGCAGGCAGAUUCACCUGAGGUCAGGAGUUCGAG
This 2434-nucleotide long non-coding RNA is filed under the name Homo sapiens (human). RNAcentral's name for it is "non-protein coding lnc-GAPDH-4:2". Lineage: Eukaryota; Metazoa; Chordata; Mammalia; Primates; Hominidae. The record is from RNAcentral.